UUGCUUUGGCAUCACGUAUAAAAUUGGAAUUAUGCAGAGAAGAUUAGCAUUGCCCCUGCGCAAGGAUGACAUGCAAAUUUGUGACAUGUUGGGGCAACAAUGU
Small nuclear RNA from Stegostoma tigrinum, 103 nucleotides. The record is from RefSeq and is a predicted model, not a curated record. NCBI's taxonomy places the organism in Eukaryota, Metazoa, Chordata, Chondrichthyes, Orectolobiformes, Stegostomatidae.